RNAcentral lists this long non-coding RNA (614 nucleotides) under Mytilus galloprovincialis (Mediterranean mussel). Lineage: Eukaryota; Metazoa; Mollusca; Bivalvia; Mytilida; Mytilidae. The record is from RNAcentral.
UUGGUUGAUUGUCAACUCACAAUUCCAAUGGCAAUAGUCACUUGGCACUGUCUAAACACUUGUGCAAUUCAUAAACUUUAAAAGUUUAAUUUUGUCCUACAUACCAGUCUGUUUAUUACCAGCUCUUUCGAAAGUCAUAGCUUAAAAACAUCAAUGCUGCCGAAAUUACUGACUAAAUAAUCAGUUUAAUACAAAACUGGCUUUUCUGGUGCUGCUUUUGAAACAAGAGUUCCAUAGUAAUAAAUUGAUCACAAAAUCACACCAAUCUGUACAAGUUCAAACAUAAACCUCAGAUGUGCAGAUGCUUUGCAACUUGGUGUGAAAAGCAGAAACACAGUACGCCACUUUCUUUUAACCACUUUAUUUUACUUUAAUUUCAAUCCCCUUCAGACUCAGUCUUCCAAUUUAUUUUCAAUCCUCUUAAAUAUUUUCUGCAAAGCUUCUUUUCUUCAAUAACACUAGGGAAUUUGAAUGCAAGUCUUGUUGUUUCAAUUUUGUUGAGUUUUAUCGAGAGUAAACCCUUUCUUAUAAGCAAUAAAUCAUAAGAUGAAACACAACAAUCGUCUUUCUACAUUCCAUUAAUAAUACUUUCUCAUCCAAAUUGCAUGAUACAG